CUAUGCAGACAUUGGAGUAUAUACUUGUCAAGCUAGUCUUACUGUUGAUGGAGAUGGUGUUCUGUUUAAUGGAACUGGAUCUGCUAAUACAACUGUUAGUAUAAGAAUACCAAUACCACAAGUGUCUAUUUCUCCUGAUGGUAAUUCUCCUUUUAUUCGUGGAACUGUUAGAACUGUUAGCUGUUUUGUUGUUUUCACUCCUCCUUUACCUACUAACCCUAAUGUCUCAUUUACUGUCUUCAAAGAUGAUGUUCAACUAUCA
Molecule: long non-coding RNA, 262 nt
Organism: Amphimedon queenslandica
Lineage: Eukaryota; Metazoa; Porifera; Demospongiae; Haplosclerida; Niphatidae
Exons: 2
Source: RefSeq, a predicted model, not a curated record